Molecule: ribosomal RNA, 433 nt
Filed under: uncultured bacterium
Lineage: Bacteria
Description: bacterial SSU rRNA
Rfam family: Bacterial small subunit ribosomal RNA
Source: RNAcentral
GAUGAACGCUAGCGGCAGGCCUAACACAUGCAAGUCGAGCGAGACCUUCGGGUCUAGCGGCGGACGGGUUAGUAACGCGUGGGAACGUGCCCUUCUCUGCGGAAUAGCCACUGGAAACGGUGAGUAAUACCGCAUACGCCCUUCCGGGGGAAAGAUUUAUCGGAGAAGGAUCGGCCCGCGUUAGAUUAGAUAGUUGGUGGGUAACGGCCUACCAAGUCUACGAUCUAUAGCUGGUUUUAGAGGAUGAUCAGCAACACUGGGACUGAGACACGGCCCAGACUCCUACGGGAGGCAGCAGUGGGGAAUCUUAGACAAUGGGCGCAAGCCUGAUCUAGCCAUGCCGCGUGUGUGAUGAAGGUCUUAGGAUCGUAAAGCACUUUCGCCAGGGAUGAUAAUGACAGUACCUGGUAAAGAAACCCCGGCUAACUCCGUG